GACAACGCCAGCUUCACCUGGGCCGCGCCCCCUGGACCCGACCCCUCGCUGCCUCACAACGUCACCUUCCGGGCUCGCUACUCGGACGGCGCUGGGGCUGCCCGGGAGACCAGCCUCGUGCUGCCCCUGCUCGACGAGUGCGAGCUGCGGCUGUCGCCGGCGCAGGCGGAGGUGUCGUGGCUGGAGGUGCC
Long non-coding RNA from Schistocerca cancellata (South American locust), 191 nucleotides. RefSeq lists it as uncharacterized. The transcript has 3 exons. NCBI's taxonomy places the organism in Eukaryota, Metazoa, Arthropoda, Insecta, Orthoptera, Acrididae. The record is from RefSeq and is a predicted model, not a curated record.